GUGACUCAUAAUGUACAGGACACUGGGAGCACAAACAGAGGGACAGCUUUUUAUUCAUUCACAUCUUUAUUGAUCAUCAAGUAUGGGAUAGACAGGCACAGGGUGGUGAGGAAAAGUGACAGUAAAAAUAAAAGAUCAAAGGGUCUUAGAAUCUUUACCAGAUACAAAAAUAAUAACUUCACAAUGGAAAUGUGGACUUAUGAACAUCUAUGAACACAGUGAAAAUGGAUGAAGAUUUAAAUGAAACUUCCUCAGUUAUGUAAUCCAAACUACAAAAAUCGAAGUCAAGGGAGAUGGAUGCCAGGUGUUAGCCUAAGAGCUGGCAUAUAUUUUUUGGAGUGCUGUGAGGUGUAUUGCAAGUCUUGCCAUUAUUUGUUUACAUUUUUCAAAAAGCUAAAAGUCGAAAUAGCCAAAAUAACUCAGACUAUUUCAAAAGCUCAUUAUUUGCAUAGUGUACUCAUUUGAGCAAGAGGAAAGUCUGACUGCUAAGAGCUGCUAGGAAAGGAUAAAAGUGAACUGUAUGUGUAAAGAAGGGAAUGAGAAAGUUGCACACAGGUAAUAGGCUCUUUAUCAGCCAGUGCUGCCAUCCCUAGUUGCUGGGAAUAUAGGCUGAUAUAUAACAAUAUCCCCUUUCCUAGACAAUUUUCUGAUCAACCAGGAGCUGCCUUUCCUCAGGGGCUAUGCAACCACCUCUUGGAGUUCAGAAUUUAGAUGAUGACUAACUGAUAUCAAGGUUUAAAGGCUGCUUGUGUCAAAGUGAGAUUGAUUCAGUGGUGCAAUGUGUACUCUAGAGUUUUCACCAUGAGACCAGACGUAAAGAAGCCUCUGAGACCAGAUUCUUGUGCAUGUUUUUCGUCUUGCCUAUCCUGCAUUCCUCAACUCUCCUGAAGGCUUUCCCUCAUUCUGUCACUUGAACAAGAAUCCCCUCCCAGGCUCUGCUUCCAAGGCUACAAGGAUUCAAUCUGCUUUCCUUUAUUUUGGAAGUUGUUUACACCCACUCUACUUUCUGGGUUUAUUUCCUAGCAAGACUGCCUGCAGAGAAAUUAUUGCAGACCAAUUUAUCCAGGCAACAGUUUGCCCAUCUGCGCAAACAGUUCUCUUAUUGGACAACAUCAUUUUCGCUUGGGCAAACAGCUCAAUUUUCAGGCAACUGUUUUCUCACAAAGAGCCUUAUGUCUGUCUCAAACUAUUGUGUCAUGAAUGUUGCCCAAUCUUGACAACCUUCACACCUUAAAAAACAAACCUCAAACCAUUUAAGUACAGUCCCCUAAACCCUAUUAAUACCCUUCUGUUGUCUCCUCUUGAGACUGAUAAAACCCUGUUAAUGUGGUUUUCUCCCUUAUUGCAGUAUGUUUAAUAAAUUCUGCUUUGCCAAACAACAGGUUUAUCUGGUGGAUGUUAUAAAGGAGUCAACAAUCACCAGGUCCAAACACAAUCUUUGACACCUAACAGAAGCUCAAUUAAAUUUUUUUUCAUUAAGUAACUAGGCAGAAACUCAGGUAGGGUAUUAUAUGAGAUAAAUAUGGGGGAAAGGGAGAACAAGGUAUUAGUCACAAGGAAAAAGAAAACUGGUUAUACAAGAGUCCAGGAAAUCUAUUAAAAGGCUAAGGGAAUAGAACUGACUCUGAAACAUAAGAAUCUUAGAGCUCCAUGAGAUUGUUAAUCUAUGAGGUUGGCCAAUCAAUUGUGCACACAUGUGUUAGCCUCUGUAAGGUGUCACAUAGAAGGGACAUGAAACUAUCUGAUGGAUCUUGCAAUAAACAGUGUCACUUUUUUCAGUAUUUUCUAUUCCUAAAGGAAAGGCUUUUUCUGUAUUUCUGGUCUAGGAUGAAGCUCAAGAUUUUCCUGUAUGGGUUAAUGGGAGAUAAACAUACAUUCAUUUAAACAUUCAGUAUUUAGAAUAUUUAGUAUUUAGUAUUUGCUAUGUCAAAACACCAUUCUAGUUUCUAGCAACAUUGAGAUGAAUAUGGAGGGGGCUGAAAAACUAAGGGUUUAUUUUAUCAAAGAGAAGCAAAUGAAAGGAAAUAACAUGUUAGAGCCAUACAAUUCUAAAAGGGCUCAUUCAUGUUCAUAAAUUUUCAGGUUAUCUUCUGCUGACCCUCAGAAAAACCUAUAGAAGGCAAAAACAUCUUCGAAGGAGGUUCUCUUUACUUCACGUGAACUCAUCAUUAACUUAAGUACUGUAGCCUAGAAAUCAUUGUCAAUUGCAUUUUUUUUGCAGAGCAAAACCACCUUUUUUGUUUGUUUGUUUAAAGGAGUGGAACACUGAGUAACUCUUGAAAUGGAAAAUGACUAUAUAUCACUUAGUAUAAUUAUGGCCUUCACCAAUAACUUUAUCUGUCAAGCCAAAUAAUUAGUAAAGCUCUCCAGUGUGGUAAAUCCAAAAUGCUCUUGGUCAUUUACUCCAGUGUAUAACAGCUUUUAAUAUCAGUAAAUAUUUCUUAGCAACAAAUGUUAAAUCUUCCUUCUCUUGUGAAUACUAGGUCUCAUUUUCUUGUUCUUGAUUCAAUAAAGAUGAAGACAGUCUGGCUGUUCUUCAAGAAAGAAAAAUGUUAGAGGCUUACAUUAAUUAAACUAUUGGUAUAUUUGUUGAAGUUCAUGAGACGCUGAAUUAUACCCUAGGAAGUAAGACAUACAUGCAAAAAACAAAACAAAACAACAACAACAAAAAACAAACAAACAGCAAAGUAACAAUGCCCAAUUAUAUAAAGGCCAAAAAGCUCAGGUGAAAAAGUGCAAACAGAAGUGGAGGCCAAGAAAAGAAUGUGGGAGAGAAUGAAAUAUGUGAGCCUCAAACAGAAUAGAAAAAUGGGCAAAAAGAAAAGGUUGGGGAGGGAAGGAAAGCAGCAUGAAUGAAGGAUGAUAAAGGAUUAGUUUGAAGGUGAAAUUUUACUUUAUUCUUAACACCAGAGAUCUAUAUGCUACUCACGGAUAUUUAUUAAAUAAUUAUGAGUAAUGCAUACUCAUUAAAAUAUAAAUACAUUUAAGAUAGAAAGAACAACAAAAAUUAUCUCUAAUCACACUAUUCCCUCCUCCCUAUUGAUGUUUUAGCCUUGUUUAUUACAGACCUUUUCUGGGCACUUUAAAAGGCGUACUUUCACCCAAAUACAGACUUGAUUGUGAACUUUUAAAUUUAUUAUUGCAUAAGAUUUUUUAUGUUAGUUAUACAUCUCAUUUGAUCAAGUAUAUAUACGCCAAAGUUUUAUUUAAUAAUUCAUACAUAGUUAUAUCUUUGAGUAACCUUAUAAUUAGAAUUUGUAUAAAUCGUUUUGCUACUAAGAUCUUUGUACAAAAUACUAUUUUUCUGUUGUAUAAUCACUGAGAAUGGAGUGAAAUGGAGUGGACAAAACACAGACUUUGGAGUUAAAUAGAACUGGUUUUGAUUUUCAGUUCUGCUCCUUAUAGCUUGUAAUUUUAAGCAAUGUAUCUAACUUCUCUUGGGCCUUGGUUUCCUAAAAUAUAAAAUAAAAAUCACUAUGGUUACUUUGUAGUACUAUUCUGAGAAUAAGAAUUAAUAACUGCAAAGUGUAAUGUGCUUAGA
Molecule: long non-coding RNA, 3541 nt
Filed under: Homo sapiens (human)
Lineage: Eukaryota; Metazoa; Chordata; Mammalia; Primates; Hominidae
Description: HSALNT0031462
Source: RNAcentral